CCUACGGGAGGCAGCAGUGGGGAAUAUUGGACAAUGGGCGCAAGCCUGAUCCAGCCAUGCCGCGUGAGUGAUGAAGGCCCUAGGGUUGUAAAGCUCUUUCGACGGGGACGCGGUACCCGUAGAAGAAGCCCCGGCUAACUUCGUGCCAGCAGCCGCGGUAAUACGAAGGGGGCUAGCGUUGCUCGGAAUCACUGGGCGUAAAGGGCGCGUAGGCGGACUCUUAAGUCGGGGGUGAAAGCCCAGGGCUCAACCCUGGAACUGCCUUCGAUACUGAGAGUCUCGAGACCGGAAGAGGUAAGUGGAACUGCGAGUGUAGAGGUGAAAUUCGUAGAUAUUCGCAAGAACACCAGUGGCGAAGGCGGCUUACUGGUCCGGUCUGACGCUGAGGCGCGAAAGCGUGGGGAGCAAACAGGAUUAGAUACCCUUGUAGUC
Molecule: ribosomal RNA, 432 nt
Filed under: uncultured bacterium
Lineage: Bacteria
Description: partial 16S ribosomal RNA
Rfam family: Bacterial small subunit ribosomal RNA
Source: RNAcentral